This 240-nucleotide ribosomal RNA is filed under the name uncultured bacterium. Its description in RNAcentral is "partial 16S ribosomal RNA". It matches the Rfam family "Bacterial small subunit ribosomal RNA", at positions 88 to 334 of the family's 1533-position model. The record is from RNAcentral.
CUGACGAGCGGCGGACGGGUGAGUAAUGCAUAGGAAACUGCCCAGUAUGGGGGAUAGCCCGGGGAAACCCGGAUUAAUACCGCGUACGCCUUCGGGGAAAGCAGGGGAUCUUCGGACCUUGCGCUAUUGGAUGUGCCUAUGUCGGAUUAGCUAGUUGGUGGGGUAAAGGCCUACCAAGGCGACGAUCCGUAGCUGGUCUGAGAGGAUGAUCAGCCACAUCGGGACUGAGACACGGCCCGA